RNAcentral lists this ribosomal RNA (426 nucleotides) under Triticum aestivum (bread wheat). RNAcentral describes it as "partial small subunit ribosomal RNA". Lineage: Eukaryota; Viridiplantae; Streptophyta; Magnoliopsida; Poales; Poaceae. The record is from RNAcentral.
AUGGUGGCUCUGAAACUGGAUUUCCGCAAGGCUUUUGAUAGUGUCAGCUGGGAAGCACUCCUAAAAAUUCUCUCUGUCAGGGGUUUUGGUGACCGUUGGGUUCGAUGGAUCUCGGCCAUGCUGACGUCCAGUACUUCCAGAAUCUUGAUAAAUGGUAAACUGGGACGCACCAUCAAGUCAAAAAGUGGUCUAAGACAGGGAGACGCCCUCUCGCCCUACCUAUUCAUCUUGGUAGCAGAUGUUCUACAGCAGCUCUGCCGUUUGGAACACAGUGCAGGGAGAUUAAAACACCCGCUAGGAGCAGAUGCUUUCUUUCCAAUUCUCCAGUAUGCGGAUGACACGCUAAUUUUGUUCCAGGGGGACAUUGAACAAGCACGGAUUAUCAAGCAGAUUCUGCAAGACUUCUCCAGCUUCACUGCAGAUUAA